This 262-nucleotide ribosomal RNA is filed under the name uncultured bacterium. RNAcentral's name for it is "partial 16S ribosomal RNA". It matches the Rfam family "Bacterial small subunit ribosomal RNA", at positions 92 to 354 of the family's 1533-position model. The record is from RNAcentral.
UUAGUGGCGGACGGGUGAGUAACGCGUGGGUAACCUGCCUUACACAGGGGGAUAACACUUAGAAAUAGGUGCUAAAACCGCAUAAGCGCACAGCUUCGCAUGAAGCGGUGUGAAAAACUCCGGUGGUGUAAGAUGGACCCGCGUCUGAUUAGCUUGUUGGCGGGGUAACGGCCCACCAAGGCGACGAUCAGUAGCCGGCCUGAGAGGGCGGACGGCCACAUUGGGACCGAGACACGGCCCAGACUCCUACGGAAGGCAGCAG